Oenanthe melanoleuca is the source of this 1809-nucleotide long non-coding RNA. RefSeq lists it as uncharacterized. Lineage: Eukaryota; Metazoa; Chordata; Aves; Passeriformes; Muscicapidae. The transcript is spliced from 3 exons. The record is from RefSeq and is a predicted model, not a curated record.
UUUGCAGGCUGCUGGCUUUGCCCAGAUCUUUCAUUCUAGAGUGUGGGAGCAUGUCACUCACCAGUCAGUCUGUGGAGGCUCCUAGAGCCUGGAUACAGGGCUAGUCCUGGUUACCUCCUGAGCAGGGAGGCUGUGAAAGGGUAAAAGAUGACUGGUCUGGGGCUGUGAUCUUCUUUGUUUCAAUGUAUGCAUGCUUGCUGUCUCUUUGCUGGUGCUUUCAGAGAGGGAAAUGACCUCCAACAGAGAAGGGAUAAAGAAAAAAGUAAGGAAGAUCAACAUCUUGGGAAGACUGUGGUCCCUGAGGAGUAACAAUAAAAAUGUACCUUUCAGAAUGAAUGUGUGAGGGGAAUAAGGAGCUCAGAGAAGAUACCUCAUGCAGAGAAGAAACAGAGAGAGAGAAGCAGAUGGCAUGGGCUUAACACUUAAUGAAGAGAAUGGCAAAAAGAGCUGAAACCUCUUCAGGAACAACAGAGCAUCAGACGUUUUACAGCCCUUUUGCAAGAGUGGAUGACUGACAGGGCUUAGUGUAGCUUCCUGACUGUAGGAUAUGAGGAUUGAUGUAGUAUCAAACCCCUCGGGUCCAAGGAAAGUACUCAUACAGAUCCUGACUACAAUCAGAUGGCAAGGCAAAGGAUGGUACUGAUGGUACCAUGACUGGCAGUGCAAGACAGAGCAGCCAGCUAUCACUAAACACUUCUUAACCUGUUUUAUGGGCACAGCCUGACUCAAGCAUUUUAAGAAAGGGUUUAAUUGAUAUUGUGUUAUAUUGUCUGAGGCAUUUAUGGUUUUGCCCAGAAAGGUCAGAGACAACCAAACCUUCAGAGAAAGCUGCUAAAACUAUGUGGACAGUAAGACUUCUGGCUUAUCACUGCUGUCCUAGGCUCCCUUUCUGCAUGUUUAGGGAGGCAGCAGUUGUCAGUGAGAUGUAAGUCAUACCUCAAAAGAAUACUUGAAUGUAAUGGCCUUGUUGUAUUGCAGCAUUGCCCUGCUGUGAAAUGAGAAAAAUGCAUUUACUGUGCUGAGGCAGCAGGUCAGCAUCCCAAAUGUUCUCCCCUCCAACAAGCUCACUGGGUCAGAAUAAUUCUGUUUUGGAUUGUACAGGGCAGUCUCCUGGGUAACACGCUUCACAGCAAUGCUUGGGGGGAACACGCCCUUGAAUGCAAGGCAGUCAAUGAGAUUUAUAAUUACUGUGUUUUAUAACCUCGUUCAUUCAGGCAGGGAAGGAUACUGCUGAAGGGAGCUCAAACAAGAGAAAUCAUCAAUCUGCAGCUACGUAAAUAACUGUUGUUAAUGUGAUUUGAAUCCCAGAUGGCAGAAAGGGCUCUUUUGUCCACUGUGCUGUCCAGAGCCACACAAAAAAUGCACACAAUGAGUUUUAAACUCAGGUGGCUGUAGGAUGUGAAACUCUGACUUCAGCUACCCUCUUCCAGAGAAGGGGAUGUAAAAUCCACUCUGUAUCACUGAAAUCUCCUGACUGCAUUAAGCAAGGUCUUGGCUGAAGGCCAGGUCCCAGCUGUCCCUGCAGUGAUAAUGACCACUCUCCCCCAGGGUGCUGGGCACAGGCAGAAUCCAGCUGCAUUUUCACACAUGCACACAUGUAAAUUGUCUGAACAUGGUGGUGUUAAUGCUUCUGGGAUGGCAAACUGAACCUAUAGAUGUCUCAUCAACAGUGAGCCCCAUACAGAAUGCAUUUUAUUUUUGGAAAAGCCUGGAGGUAAAAAAAUAAAAUCUCCUGGUACAGUUUAUCUGAUGCUUUGUUUUUGAGUGUCCUUGAUGCGUAACAGCAUGCUAUCAUCUCUAAAGAUUAAA